CGUGUAGGCGGCCGAUUAAGCCAGGUGUAAAAUGUUACAGCUCAACUGUAAACCCGCAUCUGGAACUGGUCGGCUAGAGGACGAGAGAGGAAAGUGGAAUUCCUAGUGUAGCGGUGGAAUGCGUAGAUAUUAGGAGGAGCACCAGUGGCGAAGGCGGCUUUCUGGCUCGUACCUGACGCUGAGGCGCGAAAGCGUGGGGAGCAAACA
RNAcentral lists this ribosomal RNA (207 nucleotides) under uncultured bacterium. RNAcentral's name for it is "partial 16S ribosomal RNA". It matches the Rfam family "Bacterial small subunit ribosomal RNA", at positions 568 to 774 of the family's 1533-position model. The record is from RNAcentral.